UCCGGCUUAUCACCGGCAGUUUCCUCAGAGUUCUCAGCAUUACCUGUUAGCAACAGAGGAUGAGGGUUGCGCUCGUUGCGGGACUUAACCCAACAUCUCACGACACGAGCUGACGACAGCCAUGCAGCACCUGUGCUCCUCCCACCCGAAGUGAAGAGCUCUCUUUCAAGAGCUCAUAGAGGGCAUGUCAAGGCCUGGUAAGGUUCUUCGCGUUGCCUCGAAUUAAACCACAUGUUCCACCGCUUGUGCGGGUCCCCGUCAAUUCCUUUGAGUUUUAAUCUUGCGACCGUACUCCCCAGGCGGGAUGCUUAACGCGUUAGCUACGCCACCGAGUCAACGAAGCGAAGCGUGAAGCUUCGCUUGGCUGACCCGACGGCUAGCAUCCAUCGUUUACAGCGCG
RNAcentral lists this unclassified non-coding RNA (400 nucleotides) under uncultured Rickettsiales bacterium. Its description in RNAcentral is "contains 16S-23S intergenic spacer region". The record is from RNAcentral. Lineage: Bacteria; Pseudomonadati; Pseudomonadota; Alphaproteobacteria; Rickettsiales.